UCCAGACUCCUACGGGAGGCAGCAGUGAGGAAUAUUGGUCAAUGGCCGAGAGGCUGAACCAGCCAAGUCGCGUGAGGGAUGACGGCCCUACGGGUUGUAAACCUCUUUUGCCGGGGAGCAAAGAGCGGGACGCGACCCGCCUCGAGAGUACCCGGAGAAAAAGCAUCGGCUAACUCCGUGCCAGCAGCCGCGGUAAUACGGAGGAUGCGAGCGUUAUCCGGAUUUAUUGGGUUUAAAGGGUGCGCAGGCGGAAGCGCAAGUCAGGGGUAAAAUCGCGGGGCUCAACCUCGCUCCGCCGUUGAAACUGGCGUUCUUGAGUGGGCGAGAAGUAUGCGGAAUGCGUGGUGUAGCGGUGAAAUGCAUAGAUAUCACGCAGAACUCCGAUUGCGAAGGCAGCAUACCGGCGCCCAACUGACGCUGAAGCACGAAAGCGUGGGUAUCGAACAGGAUUAGAUACCCGCGUACG
Molecule: ribosomal RNA, 466 nt
Filed under: uncultured bacterium
Lineage: Bacteria
Description: bacterial SSU rRNA
Rfam family: Bacterial small subunit ribosomal RNA
Source: RNAcentral